Molecule: non-coding RNA, 2469 nt
Organism: Caretta caretta (loggerhead turtle)
Lineage: Eukaryota; Metazoa; Chordata; Testudines; Cheloniidae
Source: RefSeq, a predicted model, not a curated record
GGUGGUCGCUGCUCUCGCCGCCGCCGCCCCGGUCCCGCUUCUCCCGGCCGCCGCCGGCCCGCUGCCCCUCGCCGGAGUCCAGGCUGCUGAAAUUCCACACCACCAGGGUCUGCAGGAGCAGCACGAGGGAUUAUCUUCUGACUCUUCAUUUAACAGCAACAGGAUUUUUCUGUGCCUUCGCUGCUUGCCUCAAGAUCUUCCUUGGAAGCUCCAUAUUACCAGUGAGAUUUUUAACAGAAGCGCCUUUACUCUCAGUCUUAUAAAUCCCUUCAGAUUAACUGUGGCUCAGCUGCUUCCCUGCCCCCAGGAAGUCUCACAUAGCCUCUUAAGGACAUUUUCCUUUUUUUCUUCUUCAUUUCAGCUCCCAAAGAUGCUACUCAUUUUAAUUUUAUUUUAUCCAGUACCCAGCCACAGCUCUGCAUGCAACUGCAUAGAAGGAAAUAUCUUCUUGUUAAUCUCUGGCUGACAAGCUCACCAGUGAAGGUCAUGAUAUGCAAUGAUAAAACCAUGGAAAGCCAGAAAACAUUUAGUAGUGUGUGAUGCUGCUUCUGUAUAAAAGGGACACUACAAAGUAAUUAUGCUCAAAAUUUGAUCCAUGGUACCUUAAAAUUGUUAUACGUAAUGGAGAAUGUCCUCUAGAUUUUAGGGGCUGAUUUUCUAAGCAUCGUGGGAAAACCAUGUAUAUUUCAUGACUAAUUUGUGCAUACAGUUAUUCUGACUCCAUGAGCAAAUCUGGUAAUGAUUCGCACUGGUCAUUUUUGUGUAUAGUUAUAAGAUUUGCAUGUAGGCCUACAGUAAUUUCAUGCGUAACAUAGGCCAGAGGUUCUCCAAAUAUGGAUUGGGACCCCAAAGUAGGUUGUGACCCUGUUUUAAUGGGGUUGCCAGGACUGUCAUUAGACUUGCUGGGGCCUGAGGCUGAAGCCAAAGUCUGAGCCCCACCACCCAGGACUGAAGCCAAAGCCUGAGGGCUUCAGUCCUGGGUAACAGGGCCCAGACUUCAGCCCUGGACACUGGGGCUCAGGUUACAGCCCUCCCCACCUCUCCUGCCCAGAGCUGAAGCCCUCAAGCUUCGGCUUUGCGUCCCAUCACCCCAUCCCCCAGCAUGGCAGGGCUUGGGACCCCCUGCCUGGGAUCAUGUAGUAUUUUUUGUUGUCAGGAGGGGGUAAUAGUGCAAUGAAGUUUGAGAAACCCUGACAUAGGCCACAGAUAUCAAUGGGUCUAAACACAUAGUGUGGGGCAGGAAUCAGCGUUCACAUCACACUCCCUGUCAGUACCCGGCCAAGGCCGGGAAAGCUAAUGAUCCAACCAGCGGAUCAAAUUCGGUGAUGAAUCCUGGUCACGUGCCAACGAAGGCACGUUGUGCAUAUGCAAGAACACAUAGUGAAGAGCCAUGCAUAGAGGGGAUCAUCAGCAUGUGUAUCUCUUCCCUCCUAUGAGGAAGGAGGCAGAGGAGGAGGAGUCCAGCUGCAUCUCUGACAACAUCCUCCCCUUCCUCUGCGUCCAUAGAAGGCUCUCUGCAAGUCCAGGGAGCAAGAAGGCAGUAGGCAUAGAUAGACCAACGAUGAGAUACAUAUCAUCCCUCCUAAUAGCUCCAGGAAGCACAGGGAAGAUGUACAAUCUCCUACCAUAGUAGGUGUGAGGCUGCGCCCCAUAUUCUUCAGUGUGAUAUUAUUAUGGUGUGAUUAUGGCAUAAUUCUGAUGUAUUUUAUGCAAGAUAAGUCAUGUGAGAUAUCAUUGGAAAGGUAUUUACUGAAAAUGACUAUCCUAUUUGUAUGCAUGUAUCUGAAGUUAGGAAUAUAGACUAUAUAUCUGUAUUACAAAUGUGUUUACACCUGAGGAAUGCCCACUAGGCAAAAGAUGCUCGGUCUAGAUGGCUGGGUAGGAAGGGCCCAUUCAAGUUAAUGAACCAUUCGGGAAAACAACAGGCCUUAGAAGAAGUUUAUCUCCCACCUCAAGUUUUCUUGAGGAUGCUACAAACGGCCUAUGAGCAAUGGCUACUGUGGCACUACAGGGACAUGUAACAAGGUCACUUGGUACUGGACUGCAUCUUGGAAUACCAAUGCUUUUCCAUUGACUGGCGUGGGAACCAAGCUUUGAGACAAAGGGUUCCCACCCUACGCAGAAGCUAUUUAAGCCAGGGGAGCAACAUCAUCGUGGUUCUUCACUGACUCCACACCCCGAAGAGACUCUUGGAAACACCUGAGGAACACGGACUGAACUGUGGGGGAAGUGCUGGACCCAGGCUAAAGAGAUUUUUAGCCUGUGAAAGGAACAUCUGGGGUUUUUAAGCUGUAAGCAAGUGCAGGUGGCCCCUUAAUCACUGCAGCCUGCUUGAAUCAUCAUUAAGGGUGAGAAUUCGCUACUCAUAUCCCAUUUCUUUAGUAUAUUAAUCUUAGUUAGCAUGUUUUGUUUGUUUGCUAGGUGAUCUGUUUGCUAUCUCUUAUAAUCACUUAAAAUCUAUCUUUUGUA